This is a long non-coding RNA of Sinocyclocheilus anshuiensis, 276 nucleotides long. RefSeq lists it as uncharacterized. The record is from RefSeq and is a predicted model, not a curated record. Lineage: Eukaryota; Metazoa; Chordata; Actinopteri; Cypriniformes; Cyprinidae. The transcript has 4 exons.
GUAAUUGGAAAUAGAGAUUGAUCACAAAGUCUUUUGUGAGGUCAGGAAGAUGUCUCGGUUUCAGAAGAUGAUGAUGAUGAAGUUGUUGUUAGGGCGCAACCCAAUAUGUCACCUCUUUCUGACACAGUGCUUUGGUCAAGUCCCGAAAGCAGUACACCAGAGCAUAGACAUCGGUCAGCCACAACAACCCAGUCAUCUAAUGGGCAAGCCAAGAGUGCAACAAGACCCAAACAGAUGACCACCUCAGUGGGUGAACUCAACUGAAGUCAAGUGACU